GGCCUCGUCGCCAAGUGGUAAGGCAACGGUUUGCAAAACCGUCACCCCCGGUUCAAAUCCGGGCGAGGCCU
RNAcentral lists this transfer RNA (71 nucleotides) under Gemmataceae bacterium. It matches the Rfam family "tRNA". From Rfam's summary of the family: Transfer RNA (tRNA) molecules are approximately 80 nucleotides in length. Lineage: Bacteria; Pseudomonadati; Planctomycetota; Planctomycetia; Gemmatales; Gemmataceae. The record is from Rfam by way of RNAcentral.